GAACACGUCAAUUUUUAAGAUGUUACAUUAAAAAAAAGAAAGACAUCUAAUUUUUAAAAUCUAGUGCAUGUAUGUAUGUAGUGCACUCUUUAAUUUUUCUCUAUAAACAAGCUUAUGAAGCUAGAAAUAUUAAGUACCAGUAGGCUCAAAGGUAUGUAUUGUAUAUAUUAACUCUAAAAUAUCAAAAAUUGUCUCAAUCAAUUAUAGAGAAAUAUUUUAGAUCAUCUUAAACUUAUGUUUGUGACAUUGUAUAUUAUAUGCUUAUUGACAAUUAUCAGUUAUCACUAUAUGGAGGUGAGUUUUCUUAAUACGGGAUCUAGAAAAAUUAUAACUUAGUACAAGGUGGAGUUUAUUCCUACAUAUAGUUGGCUCAAGUUGGAAUCAGAAAUUUUUGUGACUUUAUUCCUAUAUAAAGUAUCUCUAUAGAGUAGUUAAUUUGUCUAGCCAUCAUGUAUUUCACAUAGUGUGUAAAGAAUGAACUUCCAAGGAGAGACCUUGGAUGGGUUUAUAAGUAAGUUGUGCAACUUCCCAGAUUGUCAAUUGGUUUUAUGAUGGAACCUCAAUUUUUUUCAUGGUAUCAAAACAGGUUGUCACGCGUGGGAAGCCUAAUGGCCACACGUGUUCCCCAUCA
Molecule: long non-coding RNA, 631 nt
Filed under: Malus domestica (apple)
Lineage: Eukaryota; Viridiplantae; Streptophyta; Magnoliopsida; Rosales; Rosaceae
Description: long non-coding RNA (MDOM_LNC011050)
Source: RNAcentral